Molecule: transfer RNA, 69 nt
Filed under: Micromonospora purpureochromogenes
Lineage: Bacteria; Bacillati; Actinomycetota; Actinomycetes; Micromonosporales; Micromonosporaceae
Description: tRNA-Ala
Source: RNAcentral
GGGCUGCGCGCUGGGGCGCAGAGAGGCCUUGCAAGCCACUCCCGCCGGGUUCGAUUCCCGGGCGGUCCA